GAUGAACGCUAGUCGGGAGGCCUUAACGACGAUGCAAGCCGAGGGUAUAUAUUUGCUUGCAAAGUAUAGAGACCGGCGGAUGGGUGAGUAACGCGUAUGAAACUUUCCCUAUUCAUCAGGAUAGCCCUAGGAAACUGGGAUUAAUACUGAAUAACACAAUUAACGGCAUCGUUUAUUGUUAAAAGAUUCAUUGGAAUAGGAUAGUCAUGCGUCAGAUUAGCUAGUUGGUAGAGUAGUAGCCUACCAAGGCGAUGAUCUGUAGGGGACCUGAGAGGGUGAUCCCCCACACUGGUACUGGGACACGGACCAG
Molecule: ribosomal RNA, 310 nt
Filed under: uncultured bacterium
Lineage: Bacteria
Description: bacterial SSU rRNA
Rfam family: Bacterial small subunit ribosomal RNA
Source: RNAcentral